GAUGAACGCUGGCGGCGUGCCUAAUACAUGCAAGUCGAGCGAACGGACGAGAAGCUUGCUUCUCUGAUGUUAGCGGCGGACGGGUGAGUAACACGUGGAUAACCUACCUAUAAGACUGGGAUAACUUCGGGAAACCGGAGCUAAUACCGGAUAAUAUUUUGAACCGCAUGGUUCAAAAGUGAAAGACGGUCUUGCUGUCACUUAUAGAUGGAUCCGCGCUGCAUUAGCUAGUUGGUAAGGUAACGGCUUACCAAGGCAACGAUGCAUAGCCGACCUGAGAGGGUGAUAGGCCACACUGGAACUGAGACACGGCCCAGACUCCUACGGGAGGCAGCAGUAGGGAAUCUUCCGCAAUGGGCGAAAGCCUGACGGAGCAACGCCGCGUGAGUGAUGAAGGUCUUCGGAUCGUAAAACUCUGUUAUUAGGGAAGAACAUAUGUGUAAGUAACUGUGCACAUCUUGACGGUACCUAAUCAGAAAGCCACGGCUAACUACGUG
Molecule: ribosomal RNA, 497 nt
Filed under: uncultured bacterium
Lineage: Bacteria
Description: partial 16S ribosomal RNA
Rfam family: Bacterial small subunit ribosomal RNA
Source: RNAcentral